This 431-nucleotide ribosomal RNA is filed under the name uncultured bacterium. RNAcentral's name for it is "partial 16S ribosomal RNA". It matches the Rfam family "Bacterial small subunit ribosomal RNA", at positions 29 to 507 of the family's 1533-position model. The record is from RNAcentral.
AACGAACGCUGGCGGCAGGCUUAACACAUGCAAGUCGAGCGCCCCGCAAGGGGCGCGGCAGACGGGUGAGUACCGCGUGGGAACGUACCUUUUGGUUCGGAACAACUCCGGGAAACUGGAGCUAAUACCGGAUAAGCCCUAACGGGGAAAGAUUUAUCGCCGAAAGAUCGGCCCGCGUCUGAUUAGCUAGUUGGUGAGGUAACGGCUCACCAAGGCGACGAUCAGUAGCUGGUCUGAGAGGAUGAUCAGCCACACUGGGACUGAGACACGGCCCAGACUCCUACGGGAAGCAGCAGUGGGGAAUAUUGGACAAUGGGCGCAAGCCUGAUCCAGCCAUGCCGCGUGAGUGAUGAAGGCCUUAGGGUUGUAAAGCUCUUUUGUCCGGGAAGAUAAUGACUGUACCGGAAGAAUAAGCCCCGGCUAACUUCGUG